RNAcentral lists this long non-coding RNA (202 nucleotides) under Panax ginseng (ginseng). RNAcentral's name for it is "long non-coding RNA (PGIN_LNC012170)". Lineage: Eukaryota; Viridiplantae; Streptophyta; Magnoliopsida; Apiales; Araliaceae. The record is from RNAcentral.
AAAUAGUUUAUACUCUAACCUGAUAAUCAAAUACAUUAUUUUCAUUCAAUUCCUUCCUCCAUUCCAUUCCUACAAUUCGUACGUAACUAUGGUUCCUAUUCCUUGGCAUGUAUCAUGUAUAAUAGAAUGGAUUGACUUAAGAAAUGAAAUGGAAUUGUCAAUGUCAUUUUUAUGUUUGAUUUGUUCAUUCAUUCUGUCAAAG